RNAcentral lists this ribosomal RNA (497 nucleotides) under uncultured bacterium. RNAcentral describes it as "partial 16S ribosomal RNA". It matches the Rfam family "Bacterial small subunit ribosomal RNA", at positions 28 to 507 of the family's 1533-position model. The record is from RNAcentral.
GACGAACGCUGGCGGCGUGCCUAAUACAUGCAAGUUGAGCGCUGAAGGUUGGUACUUGUACCAACUGGAUGAGCAGCGAACGGGUGAGUAACGCGUGGGGAAUCUGCCUUUGAGCGGGGGACAACAUUUGGAAACGAAUGCUAAUACCGCAUAAAAACUUUAAACACAAGUUUUAAGUUUGAAAGAUGCAAUUGCAUCACUCAAAGAUGAUCCCGCGUUGUAUUAGCUAGUCGGUGAGGUAAAGGCUCACCAAGGCGAUGAUACAUAGCCGACCUGAGAGGGUGAUCGGCCACAUUGGGACUGAGACACGGCCCAAACUCCUACGGGAGGCAGCAGUAGGGAAUCUUCGGCAAUGGACGAAAGUCUGACCGAGCAACGCCGCGUGAGUGAAGAAGGUUGUCGGAUCGUAAAACUCUGUUGGUAGAGAAGAACGUUGGUGAGAGUGGAAAGCUCAUCAAGUGACGGUAACUACCCAGAAAGGGACGGCUAACUACGUG